RNAcentral lists this ribosomal RNA (484 nucleotides) under uncultured bacterium. Its description in RNAcentral is "partial 16S ribosomal RNA". It matches the Rfam family "Bacterial small subunit ribosomal RNA", at positions 28 to 507 of the family's 1533-position model. The record is from RNAcentral.
AUUGAACGCUGGCGGCAUGCUUUACACAUGCAAGUCGAACGGCAGCGCGGGCUUCGGCCUGGCGGCGAGUGGCGAACGGGUGAGUAAUGCAUCGGAACGUGCCCAGUAGUGGGGGAUAGCCCGGCGAAAGCCGGAUUAAUACCGCAUACGACCUGAGGGUGAAAGCGGGGGACCGAAAGGCCUCGCGCUAUUGGAGCGGCCGAUGUCGGAUUAGCUAGUUGGUGGGGUAGAGGCUUACCAAGGCGACGAUCCGUAGCUGGUCUGAGAGGACGACCAGCCACACUGGGACUGAGACACGGCCCAGACUCCUACGGGAGGCAGCAGUGGGGAAUUUUGGACAAUGGGGGCAACCCUGAUCCAGCCAUGCCGCGUGCGGGAAGAAGGCCUUCGGGUUGUAAACCGCUUUUGUUCGGGAAGAAAUCCUCUGGGCUAAUACCCCGGGGGGAUGACGGUACCGGAAGAAUAAGCACCGGCUAACUACGUG